Molecule: long non-coding RNA, 634 nt
Filed under: Homo sapiens (human)
Lineage: Eukaryota; Metazoa; Chordata; Mammalia; Primates; Hominidae
Description: HSALNT0246487
Source: RNAcentral
GUCUCGCGUCUGCGUCUGCGGAGCGAAGCUGCCUCCAGCCCGGCUGCCCCAAGGCUGACCCCGCAGCCCCUCUUGGGUUCUCCGCCUCCAGCGUUCACCCCUGCGCCCCUCACGCCCGUGUUUGCAGGGCACGGAGCCUGGGAUUCUCCGUGUCCACCAAGCCCUGGACCCGCCCGCGCGCAGAUGCUCUUAGAAGCCCACGCAGCCUCUCCAGGCCUCGGCAGGGACUCGUGGUGGCCACAUCCACGGAAGUGACGCUGGGAGCUGCAGGGCCCCGCGGGGUAGGAGGAAGGACCCCACAGCCUCACCCUCGAGCCCCUGAGCUGGGUGCUGGCCCCCACUCGGUUUCACUUGCUGCUCGGAGGUAGGAUGUGGGCCUUCACUCAUGCUGAACCCCUGAAAGAAAAAGACACAGAACAUUAAUAAAUUAGACUAGAGGAGAGCUGGAGAGCUGUGAACACGGGGUCUAAAGGGCCCCCAGCGAGGAGCUGGCCUCGCCCACUCCACUCCGCCCGGGGCUCAUCUGCUGCCUGAGGCCGCGGACCGGCCCCUAAAGCUGAAGGGGUUCUGCUGGGGGAGAGGAGGUGGCCAAGUGUGAAUGGCCGAGAGGCUCCUGCAAUCAGCUGGAUCCGGG